RNAcentral lists this ribosomal RNA (484 nucleotides) under uncultured bacterium. Its description in RNAcentral is "partial 16S ribosomal RNA". It matches the Rfam family "Bacterial small subunit ribosomal RNA", at positions 29 to 507 of the family's 1533-position model. The record is from RNAcentral.
AUUGAACGCUGGCGGCAUGCUUUACACAUGCAAGUCGAACGGCAGCGCGGGCUUCGGCCUGGCGGCGAGUGGCGCACGGGUGAGUAAUACAUCGGAACGUGCCCCGUAGUGGGGGAUAGCUCGGCGAAAGCCGGGUUAAUACCGCAUACGACCUGAGGGUGAAAGAGGGGGAUCUUCGGACCUCUCGCUAUUGGAGCGGCCGAUGGCAGAUUAGCUAGUUGGUGGGGUAAAGGCCUACCAAGGCGACGAUCUGUAGCUGGUCUGGGAGGACGACCAGCCACACUGGGACUGAGACACGGCCCAGACUCCUACGGGAGGCAGCAGUGGGGAAUUUUGGACAAUGGGCGAAAGCCUGAUCCAGCAAGGCCGCGUGUGGGAUGAAGGCCUUCGGGUUGUAAAGCACUUUUGGCGGGAACGAAAAGGAUUGGGCCAAGACCACGGUUCGAUGACGGUACCCGCAGAAUAAGCACCGGCUAACUACGUG